RNAcentral lists this ribosomal RNA (430 nucleotides) under uncultured bacterium. Its description in RNAcentral is "bacterial SSU rRNA". It matches the Rfam family "Bacterial small subunit ribosomal RNA", at positions 495 to 922 of the family's 1533-position model. The record is from RNAcentral.
GGCCAACUACGUGCCAGCAGCCGCGGUAAUACGUAGGGUGCAAGCGUUGUCCGGAAUUAUUGGGCGUAAAGGGCUCGUAGGCGGUCUGUCGCGUCGGGAGUGNAAACUCAGGGCUUAACCCUGAGCCUGCUUCCGAUACGGGCAGACUAGAGGUAUGCAGGGGAGAAUGGGAUUCCUGGUGUAGCGGUGAAAUGCGCAGAUAUCAGGAGGAACACCGGUGGCGAAGGCGGUUCUCUGGGCAUUACCUGACGCUGAGGAGCGAAAGUGUGGGGAGCGAACAGGAUUAGAUACCCUGGUAGUCCACACCGUAAACGUUGGGCGCUAGGUGUGGGACUCAUUCCACGAGUUCCGUGCCGCAGCUAACGCAUUAAGCGCCCCGCCUGGGGAGUACGGCCGCAAGGCUAAAACUCAAAGGAAUUGACGGAAUCGA